AUACGUAGGGUGCAAACGUUGUUCGGAAUCACUGGGCAUAAAGCGCACGUAGGCGGCCGAGUCAGUUCGGUGUGAAAGCCCCCGGCUCAACCGGGGAACUGCAUCGAAUACUGCUUGGCUUGAGGACGGUUGGGGUGAGUGGAACUCCUGGUGGAGCGGUGAAAUGCGUAGAUAUCAGGAGGAACACCAGUGGCGAAAGCGGCUCACUGGACCGUAUCUGACGCUGAGGUGCGAAAGCUAGGGUAGCGAACGGGAUUAGAAACCCCAGUAGUCC
RNAcentral lists this ribosomal RNA (274 nucleotides) under uncultured bacterium. RNAcentral's name for it is "partial 16S ribosomal RNA". It matches the Rfam family "Bacterial small subunit ribosomal RNA", at positions 523 to 796 of the family's 1533-position model. The record is from RNAcentral.